UGCAUGGGACAGAGGGAGCUUCAGCAUCUCCACAUGGACUAUGAGAAACAGCUCUUUGCUGCCAUCUGCUGACGGACACUUCAGGCUGCAUCUGUGCAUGGUCAGGGCCUGAUCUGCCCUGUCCACUUUGUUUAAUCCGUAAAAGUCAUGAAAUGAGCCGGAAACCCCGCUAGCAUUGAGCUUGCUAGCAUGGCUAGCACAGGAGAACAUUGUUUUUAAUGAAUGGUGAUAGUUUUUCAUGCAACGUCUUACUUUCUAACAUCUUUUUUCACUAGCAGCUACUGGUGGAGCUCCUCAUCUGACUGUGCUGGCGUCCUCCAGUUACAUAAAGUACACAUUUGAUCGUUUAAUAUAGUAAAAGAUUUCACAAACAAGAAAAACUUACUGGAACCUUCUGAAAGUGGUAUGUUGAGCUAAGACUCUGAGUUAUUUGGUAGCCAAUGAGCUACUGGAUGUUGGGGAAGUCCCGCCUCCCCUCCGCUUGAUUGACGUGUCGCUGAUUUUACGUGUGCAGGUUUUAGUAUCGAAAAAAAUAAAAGCAUGACGCAAAAAAUAAAAGCGCGACUCAAAACGACGAUUUCAGAAUGGUGAGAAAACAAAUCAGCAGCUGAUAAAUAUGAUUGUGCUUUGGGUUAUAUCUUUUGGUUGCAAAUUGUGGGUUUUGAUUCUCAAUUUAUGCAUUUUGAUUCGCGGAUUUGGGGUUUUGAUGCGCAAUAUAUUAGGCGCUGAAUUGACACCAUAGUACGAGGACAGUACAUUGUCAUACUUCAGAAGUUCCGCCAUAAGUUUGAAAGCAUAGGGAAAGUCUAACGGGCCAUUCGAUUGGCUGAAAGUGAAGGCGCCUGCUUUGCUGAUGAGUUUGAAUGACAGAUUCAUUAGCCAAUGAUGACAUUAGUUGACCUGCUGGGUCAGGAGAGUCUCAAAAUCGACUGCAGGGAUUUCUUUCACAAAUGAGAGUGAGUUUGUAAAUGCACAUUCUGCAAUUCACAUGAUCUGUGAGUUCAUAUUACAAGUGUACCUCAAAAUUAUGUUUGUGAAGCAUUUAUUGUACAUUUCUCAAACAUUUAUUGUGUUUUUUUGAAGCACAGCGUGCACAUCUGUGGGAAACAAUUAUUGUGCAUUUGUGAAACACAACGUGUGCAUUUCCAAAUUGAUAUUGCAUGUUUGCAUAGAAUUACAGUUGUAAAUCGGAGUAUGGAUUUCUGAAUUAUGAGACUGUUCUGGACUCAUAGAGAAGGGGCACAAAGAGACACAUCUGCCCCCCUGGAGGGAUUUCCAACGCAAUGUGGAUGUUUCUAGCAUGUGCAUGAAGUCAGAGUGAAGCCACGACAAACUCGGCUAACGCUCAAAGACCCCCCAGCAACAAACCCCCAGAAAAACGAACAUAAAUGUUAUCAAAAGCAGGGCUGUCUUUGUAAAGUUCAAUGUUCUCAGGUCCUUUUGAGUUCUGAAAACAGGGAAACCAGCAGGAGAAAAGCCCAGCUGAUGUUGGUCAGCAUUCACGAGUACAACACUGCAGCCUUCUCUGUCUGAACUCGACCCAGAGGACACCGAGCACAGGGAGAGGACAGCAUGACUCAACAGAACCAGAAGGAAACUUGGGCCUGUUCGUGUUGGCCUCAGUUAAAGACGGCAGCAGAUGUUCAUCUUCACUGGGUCUGGUUCUGCUGGAGGGUUCUUCCAAACCUUCCUUUCAGAGGCCGCUUUCUUCGCCCCCGUCACCCUUUAUUUGCUCAGAAGAAGAUUACAUGGAAAACUCUUUGACGUUAUUUGUUGGUCACUUAUAAAGACCAAUAAAUAUAAAGUAAUAAAGAUGAUUUAUACGUUUUUAAGGAUUUGACUGAAUUGGAUUAUAAUAAUCUGGAAUCUUUAUAAUGACUAGAACAAUGGCUUGCUUUGAUCUUGCUUUCUUUUUGUGUAAUUACUUCAGACAACCUCCAGUGGGGAUUGGUCCUUUAUGAAUAAAUUGAUUGAAUUAAAA
Oryzias latipes (Japanese medaka) is the source of this 1981-nucleotide non-coding RNA. The record is from RefSeq and is a predicted model, not a curated record. NCBI's taxonomy places the organism in Eukaryota, Metazoa, Chordata, Actinopteri, Beloniformes, Adrianichthyidae.